GCUGUGGAUUGUCCUUUGGACAAUGGUAGGAGAGCGUUCUAAGGGCGUUGAAGCAUGAUCGUAAGGACAUGUGGAGCGCUUAGAAGUGAGAAUGCCGGUGUGAGUAGCGAAAGACGGGUGAGAAUCCCGUCCACCGAUUGACUAAGGUUUCCAGAGGAAGGCUCGUCCGCUCUGGGUUAGUCGGGUCCUAAGCUGAGGCCGACAGGCGUAGGCGAUGGAUAACAGGUUGAUAUUCCUGUACCACCUAUAAUCGUUUUAAUCGAUGGGGGGACGCAGUAGGAUAGGCGAAGCGUGCGAUUGGAUUGCACGUCUAAGCAGUAAGGCUGAGUAUUAGGCAAAUCCGGUACUCGUUAAGGCUGAGCUGUGAUGGGGAGAAGACAUUGUGUCUUCGAGUCGUUGAUUUCACACUGCCGAGAAAAGCCUCUAGAUAGAAAAUAGGUGCCCGUACCGCAAACCGACACAGGUAGUCAAGAUGAGAAUUCUAAGGUGAGCGAGCGAACUCUCGUUAAGGAACUCGGCAAAAUGACCCCGUAACUUCGGGAGAAGGGGUGCUCUUUAGGGUUAACGCCCAGAAGAGCCGCAGUGAAUAGGCCCAAGCGACUGUUUAUCAAAAACACAGGUCUCUGCUAAACCGUAAGGUGAUGUAUAGGGGCUGACGCCUGCCCGGUGCUGGAAGGUUAAGAGGAGUGGUUAGCUUCUGCGAAGCUACGAAUCGAAGCCCCAGUAAACGGCGGCCGUAACUAUAACGGUCCUAAGGUAGCGAAAUUCCUUGUCGGGUAAGUUCCGACCCGCACGAAAGGCGUAACGAUUUGGGCACUGUCUCAACGAGAGACUCGGUGAAAUCAUAGUACCUGUGAAGAUGCAGGUUACCCGCGACAGGACGGAAAGACCCCGUGGAGCUUUACUGUAGCCUGAUAUUGAAAUUCGGCACAGCUUGUACAGGAUAGGUAGGAGCCUUUGAAACGUGAGCGCUAGCUUACGUGGAGGCGCUGGUGGGAUACUACCCUAGCUGUGUUGGCUUUCUAACCCGCACCACUUAUCGUGGUGGGAGACAGUGUCAGGCGGGCAGUUUGACUGGGGCGGUCGCCUCCUAAAAGGUAACGGAGGCGCUCAAAGGUUCCCUCAGAAUGGUUGGAAAUCAUUCAUAGAGUGUAAAGGCAUAAGGGAGCUUGACUGCGAGACCUACAAGUCGAGCAGGGUCGAAAGACGGACUUAGUGAUCCGGUGGUUCCGCAUGGAAGGGCCAUCGCUCAACGGAUAAAAGCUACCCCGGGGAUAACAGGCUUAUCUCCCCCAAGAGUUCACAUCGACGGGGAGGUUUGGCACCUCGAUGUCGGCUCAUCGCAUCCUGGGGCUGUAGUCGGUCCCAAGGGUUGGGCUGUUCGCCCAUUAAAGCGGUACGCGAGCUGGGUUCAGAACGUCGUGAGACAGUUCGGUCCCUAUCCGUCGUGGGCGUAGGAAAUUUGAGAGGAGCUGUCCUUAGUACGAGAGGACCGGGAUGGACAUACCUCUGGUGUACCAGUUGUCGUGCCAACGGCAUAGCUGGGUAGCUAUGUGUGGACGGGAUAAGUGCUGAAAGCAUCUAAGCAUGAAGCCCCCCUCAAGAUGAGAUUUCCCAACUUCGGUUAUAAGAUCCCUCAAAGAUGAUGAGGUUAAUAGGUUCGAGGUGGAAGCAUGGUGACAUGUGGAGCUGACGAAUACUAAUCGAUCGAAGACUUAAUCAAAA
This 1725-nucleotide ribosomal RNA is filed under the name Staphylococcus aureus. RNAcentral describes it as "partial 23S ribosomal RNA". It matches the Rfam family "Bacterial large subunit ribosomal RNA", at positions 1199 to 2925 of the family's 2925-position model. The record is from RNAcentral. Lineage: Bacteria; Bacillati; Bacillota; Bacilli; Caryophanales; Staphylococcaceae.